This 301-nucleotide ribosomal RNA is filed under the name uncultured bacterium. RNAcentral's name for it is "partial 16S ribosomal RNA". It matches the Rfam family "Bacterial small subunit ribosomal RNA", at positions 509 to 807 of the family's 1533-position model. The record is from RNAcentral.
CAGCAGCCACGGUAAUACGUAGGGUGCAAGCGUUAUCCGGAAUUAUUGGGCGUAAAGAGCUCGUAGGCGGUUUGUCGCGUCUGCUGUGAAAACUGGAGGCUCAACCUCCAGCCUGCAGUGGGUACGGGCAGACUAGAGUGCGGUAGGGGAGAUUGGAAUUCCUGGUGUAGCGGUGGAAUGCGCAGAUAUCAGGAGGAACACCGAUGGCGAAGGCAGAUCUCCGGGCCGUAACUGACGCUGAGGAGCGAAAGCGUGGGGAGCGAACAGGAUUAGAUACCCGCGUAGUCCCUGUCUCUUAUAC